Molecule: ribosomal RNA, 207 nt
Filed under: uncultured bacterium
Lineage: Bacteria
Description: partial 16S ribosomal RNA
Rfam family: Bacterial small subunit ribosomal RNA
Source: RNAcentral
CGCGUAGGCGGCGUUUUAAGUCGGGGGUGAAAGCCUGUGGCUCAACCACAGAAUGGCCUUCGAUACUGGGACGCUUGAGUAUGGUAGAGGUUGGUGGAACUGCGAGUGUAGAGGUGAAAUUCGUAGAUAUUCGCAAGAACACCGGUGGCGAAGGCGGCCAACUGGACCAUUACUGACGCUGAGGCGCGAAAGCGUGGGGAGCAAACA